RNAcentral lists this ribosomal RNA (265 nucleotides) under uncultured bacterium. RNAcentral's name for it is "partial 16S ribosomal RNA". It matches the Rfam family "Bacterial small subunit ribosomal RNA", at positions 793 to 1055 of the family's 1533-position model. The record is from RNAcentral.
GUCCACGCCGUAAACGAUGUCUACUAGCCGUUGGGUUCCUUGAGGACUUAGUGGCGCAGCUAACGCAAUAAGUAGACCGCCUGGGGAGUACGGUCGCAAGAUUAAAAACUCAAAAUGAAUUGACGGGGGCCCGCACAAGCGGUGGAGCAUGUGGUUUAAUUCGACGCAACGCGAAGAACCUUACCAGGUCUUUACAUCCAGAGAACUUUCCAGAGAUGGAUUGGUGCCUUCGGGAGCUCUGAGACAGGUGCUGCAUGGCUGUCGU